GAUGAACGCUAGCGGCAGGCCUAACACAUGCAAGUCGAGGGGUAACAUAGAGAAGCUUGCUUUUCUGAUGACGACCGGCGCACGGGUGCGUAACGCGUAUGCAACCUACCUCUUACUGGAGGAUAGCCCGAAGAAAUUCGGAUUAAGACUCCAUAGUAUUUCGAUUUCGCAUGAUUUUGAAAUUAAAGGUUACGGUAAGAGAUGGGCAUGCGUCCUAUUAGCUAGAUGGUAAGGUAACGGCUUACCAUGGCAACGAUAGGUAGGGGGCCUGAGAGGGUGAUCCCCCACACUGGUACUGAGACACGGACCAGACUCCUACGGGAGGCAGCAGUGAGGAAUAUUGGGCAAUGGAGGCAACUCUGACCCAGCCAUGCCGCGUGCAGGAAGACGGUCCUAUGGAUUGUAAACUGCUUUUAUUUGUGAAUAAACUCCGGUACGUGUACCGGCCUGAAUGUAGCAAAUGAAUAAGCACCGGCUAACUCCGUGCCAGCAGCCGCGGUAAUACGGAGGGUGCAAGCGUUAUCCGGAAUCAUUGGGUUUAAAGGGUCCGCAGGCGGACGUAUAAGUCAGUGGUGAAAUCCUACAGCUUAACUGUAGAAC
This 600-nucleotide ribosomal RNA is filed under the name uncultured bacterium. RNAcentral describes it as "bacterial SSU rRNA". It matches the Rfam family "Bacterial small subunit ribosomal RNA", at positions 28 to 621 of the family's 1533-position model. The record is from RNAcentral.